UACACACGUGCUACAAUGGGCGGUACAAAGGGUCGCGAACCCGCGAGGGGGAGGCCAAUCCCAAAAAGACCGCUCUCAGUUCGGAUUGCAGGCUGCAACUCGCCUGCAUGAAGCCGGAAUCGCUAGUAAUCGCGGAUCAGCAUGCCGCGGUGAAUACGUUCCCGGGCCUU
RNAcentral lists this ribosomal RNA (170 nucleotides) under uncultured Anoxybacillus sp. RNAcentral describes it as "partial 16S ribosomal RNA". It matches the Rfam family "Bacterial small subunit ribosomal RNA", at positions 1215 to 1382 of the family's 1533-position model. The record is from RNAcentral. Lineage: Bacteria; Bacillati; Bacillota; Bacilli; Caryophanales; Anoxybacillaceae.